This 208-nucleotide long non-coding RNA is filed under the name Mytilus galloprovincialis (Mediterranean mussel). Lineage: Eukaryota; Metazoa; Mollusca; Bivalvia; Mytilida; Mytilidae. The record is from RNAcentral.
CAAAUGUUAAAUAAAAUGGUAAAUUCGUAUUUGAAAUAGAUUUAAAAAAGACAUGAAUAGUAUAUUUUGAAUCAGUUCACAAUCAUGGACGAUAUAGAAAACAAUCUAAACGAACUUGUAAGAUCAGUGAAUAGUAGAACUUUUCUUUUAGUGCAAACUAAAGGUAUAACUCUGAUUAUAUAUUCCACUGGAGUUUCUUUGGCGGCGG